This 522-nucleotide ribosomal RNA is filed under the name uncultured Pseudomonadota bacterium. Its description in RNAcentral is "bacterial SSU rRNA". It matches the Rfam family "Bacterial small subunit ribosomal RNA", at positions 382 to 896 of the family's 1533-position model. Lineage: Bacteria; Pseudomonadati; Pseudomonadota. The record is from RNAcentral.
CCUGACGCAGCAACGCCGCGUGAGUGAUGAAGGUCUUCGGAUCGUAAAGCUCUUUCGGCCGGGACGAAAACGCCGGAGCGAACAGCUCCGGCCUUGACGGUACCGGAAGAAGAAGCACCGACUAACUCUGUGCCAGCAGCCGCGGUAAUACAGAGGGUGCAAGCGUUGUUCGGAAUUAUUGGGCGUAAAGCGCGUGUAGGCGGCGGAGCAUGUCGGGUGUGAAAGCCCUCGGCUUAACCGAGGAAGUGCGCCCGAAACUGCUCGGCUGGAGUGCUGGAGAGGGUAGCGGAAUUCCCGGUGUAGAGGUGAAAUUCGUAGAUAUCGGGAGGAACACCAGUGGCGAAGGCGGCUACCUGGACGGACACUGACGCUGAGACGCGAAAGCGUGGGGAGCAAACAGGAUUAGAUACCCUGGUAGUCCACGCUGUAAACGAUGGGAACUAGGUGUGGCGGGUGUUGACCCCUGCCGUGCCGAAGCCAACGCAUUAAGUUCCCCGCCUGGGAAGUACGGCCGCAAGGUUA